Molecule: ribosomal RNA, 440 nt
Filed under: uncultured bacterium
Lineage: Bacteria
Description: partial 16S ribosomal RNA
Rfam family: Bacterial small subunit ribosomal RNA
Source: RNAcentral
CCUACGGGUGGCAGCAGUGGGGAAUAUUGCACAAUGGGGGAAACCCUGAUGCAGCGACGCCGCGUGAACGAUGACGUAUUUCUGUGUGUUAAGCUCUAUCAGCAGGGGAGAAAAUGACGAUACCUGACUCAGAAUCCACGGCUAACUACGUGCCGGCAGCCUCGAUACUACGUCGGUGGCCAUCGUUAUACGGAUUUAGUGGGUUUAAAGGGGACGUAGUCGGCGGUGCAAGCUAGAUGGUAAACCCCGGGGCUCAACAUCGGGACUGCAUUUGGAACUGUGCUGCUAGAGUGUAGGAGAGGUAGGCGGAAUGUCUGGUGUAGCGGUGAAAUGCGUAGAGAUCAGGCGGAACACCAGUGGCGAAGGCGGCCUGCUGGACGAUGACUGACGUUGAGGCACGAAAGCGUGGGGAGCAAACAGGAUUAGAUACCCCUGUAGUC